GAGGAGCUGCCUACUGGGUUUCGGUUCUACCCUACUGAAGAGGAGCUAGUUUCAUUCUAUCUAUGCCACAAGCUUGAAGGGAGGAGACAGGACCUGCACCGUGUCAUCCCGGUUAUCAGUGUCUUUGAUAAUGAGCCAUGGGACCUCCCUGGUACAGAUCUUUUUACUUUCAAAUGCAAGAUAUAUGAAUAUGCAUGCAUGCUAGGAGAAGAUAUUUUGACUUUAAUGGAAUAACAAAUAACAAUUGACCUUUUGUGCAAUCUAUGUUGCAGAGCUUGCGGGAGAGCUGUGCCAAGGGGACACCGAACAGUGGUUUUUCUUUUCACCAAGACAAGAGAGGGAGUUUCGGGGAGGUAGACCAAGCCGAACUACAGCUUCUGGCUACUGGAAAGCCACAGGCUCUCCAAGUUAUGUUUACUCGUCAGAUAAUCGAGUUAUUGGAGUAAAGAAGACUAUGGUUUUCUACAAGGGGAGAGCUCCUACUGGCAGGAAA
Molecule: long non-coding RNA, 493 nt
Filed under: Carica papaya (papaya)
Lineage: Eukaryota; Viridiplantae; Streptophyta; Magnoliopsida; Brassicales; Caricaceae
Description: long non-coding RNA (CPAP_LNC004626)
Source: RNAcentral